AGAUCAUGAUGUGGGAAACUCCUAAGUAAGUCCUUGUAUCUGUCCCAAGCUUCAUAUAAUGACUCAUCAUCAAAUUGUAUGAACAAAGUGAUAUCGUUCCUCAUUUU
Molecule: small nucleolar RNA, 107 nt
Filed under: Theobroma cacao (cacao)
Lineage: Eukaryota; Viridiplantae; Streptophyta; Magnoliopsida; Malvales; Malvaceae
Description: Plant small nucleolar RNA R71
Rfam family: Plant small nucleolar RNA R71
About the family: R71 is a member of the C/D box family of snoRNAs containing the C (UGAUGA) and D (CUGA) box motifs. Multiple nearly identical copies of this snoRNA have been identified in Arabidopsis, and it is thought to function as a 2'-O-ribose methylation guide for 18S ribosomal RNA.
Source: Rfam by way of RNAcentral